GACAAGUCUGGAACAAGUUGUCAUCAUCUUGUAACAAGGUUGGUUGGUCAGAGGAAAACAGACUCGCAACAAGUUGUUUGAACAAGUUUGAUAUCGUCUGCAUGUAACAAAUUGAUGACAACAAGCUCGUAGCAACUUGUUACGAACAGCCUGUAUUAGUCUUGUUGGACAACCUGUAGAAAGUCUGUUACCGUCAUCAACCUUGUAACAAGGUGAUAACAACUUGUUCCAGACUUGUC
Non-coding RNA from Paramuricea clavata, 239 nucleotides. The record is from the annotation of a GenBank genome assembly. NCBI's taxonomy places the organism in Eukaryota, Metazoa, Cnidaria, Anthozoa, Malacalcyonacea, Plexauridae.